UACGGAGGGGGCGAGCGUUAUUCGGAAUUAUUGGGCGUAAAGGGCGCGUAGGCGGCUGGGCAAGUCAAAGGUGAAAUCCCUCGGCUCAACUGAGGAACUGCCUUUGAAACUGCCUGGCUUGAGGCCGGGAGGGGGUAGCGGAAUUCCCAGUGUAGAGGUGAAAUUCGUAGAUAUCGGGAGGAACACCAGUGGCGAAGGCGGCGAUCUGGGAAGAUACUGACGCUGAGGUGCGAAAGCGUGGGGAGCAAACAGG
This 253-nucleotide ribosomal RNA is filed under the name uncultured bacterium. RNAcentral describes it as "partial 16S ribosomal RNA". It matches the Rfam family "Bacterial small subunit ribosomal RNA", at positions 524 to 776 of the family's 1533-position model. The record is from RNAcentral.